GACAGAGGGUGCAAACGUUGUUCGGAAUUACUGGGCGUAAAGCGCAUGUAGGCGGUUCGUUAAGUCAGAUGUGAAAGCCCUGGGCUUAACCCAGGAAGUGCAUUUGGAACUCACGAACUUGAGUCCCGGAGAGGAAGGCGGAAUUCUCGGUGUAGAGGUGAAAUUCGUAGAUAUCGAGAGGAACAUCGGUGGCGAAGGCGGCCUUCUGGACGGUGACUGACGCUGAGAUGCGAAAGCGUGGGGAGCAAACAGG
This 253-nucleotide ribosomal RNA is filed under the name uncultured bacterium. Its description in RNAcentral is "partial 16S ribosomal RNA". It matches the Rfam family "Bacterial small subunit ribosomal RNA", at positions 524 to 776 of the family's 1533-position model. The record is from RNAcentral.